This 495-nucleotide ribosomal RNA is filed under the name uncultured bacterium. Its description in RNAcentral is "partial 16S ribosomal RNA". It matches the Rfam family "Bacterial small subunit ribosomal RNA", at positions 28 to 507 of the family's 1533-position model. The record is from RNAcentral.
GAUGAACGCUGGCGGCGUGCCUAAUACAUGCAAGUAGAACGCUGAAGGAGGAGCUUGCUCUUCUGGAUGAGUUGCGAACGGGUGAGUAACGCGUAGGUAACCUGCCUGGUAGCGGGGGAUAACUAUUGGAAACGAUAGCUAAUACCGCAUGACAACAGUUAUUGCAUGAUAACUGUUUAAAAGGGGCAACUGCUCCACUACCAGAUGGACCUGCGUUGUAUUAGCUAGUUGGUGAGGUAACGGCUCACCAAGGCGACGAUACAUAGCCGACCUGAGAGGGUGAUCGGCCACACUGGGACUGAGACACGGCCCAGACUCCUACGGGAGGCAGCAGUAGGGAAUCUUCGGCAAUGGACGGAAGUCUGACCGAGCAACGCCGCGUGAGUGAAGAAGGUUUUCGGAUCGUAAAGCUCUGUUGUAAGAGAAGAACGAGUGUGAGGGUGGAAAGUUCACACUGUGACGGUAUCUGACCAGAAAGGGACGGCUAACUACGUG